This 566-nucleotide ribosomal RNA is filed under the name Microhyla nilphamariensis. Its description in RNAcentral is "partial large subunit ribosomal RNA". It matches the Rfam family "Bacterial large subunit ribosomal RNA", at positions 1811 to 2605 of the family's 2925-position model. Lineage: Eukaryota; Metazoa; Chordata; Amphibia; Anura; Microhylidae. The record is from RNAcentral.
AAACAUCGCCUUCUGAUACUCAUAGAAGGUCCAGCCUGCCCAGUGACUAAGUUAAACGGCCGCGGUACCCUAACCGUGCAAAGGUAGCGCAAUCACUUGUUCUUUAAAUGAGGACUAGUAUGAACGGCAUCACGAGGGUUACACUGUCUCCCUAUUCCAUUCAGUGAAACUGAUCUUCCCGUGAAGAAGCGGGAAUAUAAAUAUAAGACGAGAAGACCCCAUGGAGCUUUAAACUCAGUGUCAUCUGCCACUUCAAUACCCUCUUAAUUACGCAGACCAUGAUAACUAGUUUUCGGUUGGGGUGACCGCGGAGUAAAACAAAACCUCCACAACGAAAGGAACUAACAACCUAAUCCAAGAGCAACAUCUCUAAGAAUCAACAAAUUGACUUAAUUGAUCCAAUUACUUGAUCAACGAACCAAGUUACCCUGGGGAUAACAGCGCAAUCCAUUUCAAGAGCUCAUAUCGACAAAUGGGUUUACGACCUCGAUGUUGGAUCAGGGUAUCCCAGUGGCGCAGCAGCUACUAACGGUUCGUUUGUUCAACGAUUAAAACCCUACGUGAUC